Punica granatum (pomegranate) is the source of this 4062-nucleotide non-coding RNA. NCBI's taxonomy places the organism in Eukaryota, Viridiplantae, Streptophyta, Magnoliopsida, Myrtales, Lythraceae. The record is from RefSeq and is a predicted model, not a curated record.
AGCUGACUCUCCCUUAGCUGGGAACGAAAAAAAAGAAAAACCCUAAGGCUCCGAAGAAAAAAAAGGGAAGAAAAACCCUAGCCGCCUCCAGCUCUUUCCUCUCUUCUCCUUUCAUAUCGGACACUCUCUCAGCUCUCACGGAUUUCCCUCAGCUCUCGAAAAUAAACCCUGCAUCCUCACCUUCUGCCUCUCCCUGCAAUUGCUACUCCCUCUCAGCCGUUAGUUCUCUGUGUUCCUCAUCAAUCACUCCAUCAAUCUGAUCAUUUUUUUCCCUUGGCAGCUCGAUAUUGACAGUGAAAGAAGGAACCCAUGGUUGCGUGCCCAGCUCCUCCCCGUUCCUCCUCCUUGCUGUCCUAUUGCAUCAUUUCCCGUGCUGUGAGCUGCUGUUGCCCAUUCUUCUGUGUUGCUUCUGUUCGGGGGCUUCAACUGCCCGUUGUACCGCUGCUACUGAGCUACUCGCGUUUGCUGCUGCCUUCCCCGAGUCGAUACCACUGAUGCUCAACCCUUCUCUGAGAAACUCAAUCGAUGAAAGAGUGCUAGCUCGUUUGACAUGAUUUCGACAACUUAAAGUCACGUUUAUGCUAUAGGCUUAGUCAUGUGCAGGUUUGUGGUUCUAUAUAUGAUGACUUAGCUUUAUCUCGAUAGCUAGGAACUGUCCUUGAUGAAGACGCUGAGUUAUAUGAUGAUUUCUUGAUCGAUUCAUGGUGUCUUGGCUCGGUUUACUGAACUUGAUGUUGUCUCUAACAAUGUGGCCGGGUUAUGCUACGGUUCCUUUGUUGUUUCAAUCUUGUUUGACAUGAUUUCGUGGGCUUGAGGUUGAGUCUAUGAUAUGAGCUGAGUUAUCGUAAUCAUUUUGGAUUGAAUGGAAAUAAUGAUUGAUGCAUUACUACUAUUUUCGACAUGAGGCUAAGUUGGGCAUGAUAAUGGAAGAACGAUAUUUGCUUGAUGUGAAUGGAUGGGAAGCUUAUUUUGGGAUCAUAAUUUGUUUUCCCCUGGUGCUAUAACUGAUUCAUUAAGGCUGCAUUUAACUAAGAAAGAGGGCUCAGAGUAGUGCUUGUGUGCUAUUUUCUUGAUAUAAAGAUGGAGGUAUAGUUCGGGGAAUACUAGGGGUGUCAUUCAUGGCUGAACAGAGGGGCUUAAAAUCCAUUUUUCGUCUAGUUUAAUGCGGGUUUCAGAUCUGAUCGGAAUUCCCUUUCUCUUGGAACUUUUGAACUACGUGUGGUUUGAUAGAAGAUACAUAAGUUUGGUAGCGGUCUAGAUGGAAUCGUGGAUUCUUUGGUCUGUUAUAAAACCCAUGUGGAGAUGAAGGGUUUAACAAAGAUCAUGAAAUUGCAUGCCCUCAUUUGUCUUCUUUUAUGUGUUGAGGCCUAGUGGUCGUAGAUGUUGCUUUCCCAUAUGUCUCGGCUGUAUUUUAUGCAUAAGCUCUGAAGUCAUAAUGCCUUAGACUCCUUGAAACUCUUCCUUCGAGUUUUACUGGCUUUGUAUUCGCUACUCUUCCGACCCCCUCUCGUUUUUCUUUCUUGCUUUUGCAUGUUAUCCCAAGCUUGGGAGGAGAAGACAAGGAAUGAGGAGUCAUGAGAAGGAAUAAGUAUGGAUUGACUCCAAGACGACGUGGAGACUUACCUAGGCUUAGGUUGAGUCCCGACUUGAAGGCCGCCCCGGUCCGUGGUAGUCAAGGAUCUUUCGAGCUAGCUCAUCCUGAGAAUCUCUUGGGAUCAGGUACAUCAAACACAAGAACUACGAUGGACUCUGAUCUCUGACCCCUCGGGAUACGUAGGCGCUCCCCCCUAGAGCUCGAGUUCCUCAUUGCACGACCGGGGCAUCCUCAACGAAGCAGCAGCCUCAGCGCGAGACCGAUCAUCGACAAAUCAAGGACCUCGGGGCUAUGCACGACACAGUCAUCAAACAAGCACUUGGGUCACACGACGAUUCGCGAGCCAUAAUCACCACUGCAUCACCCCAGCGUGAUCUUGACUUAGUGUCAAGCGAACUGUCCUUUCAGCGCCCAGCGCUAUUCCUUAACACUGAUCUUUGCUCUUGUAUUCCAUGCACUUCGCUACCACUACCUUGCAUCGUCGCGGGCCCAUAAACCCGUAUCUUUACUUUUUCUGCACCCCACGGGCCCAUAAACCCGUGUCUUUACUCUCCCCGCACCCCACGAGCCCAUAAACCAGUGUCUUUACUGUUCCGGCACCGCAAGGGCCCAUAAACCGGUGUCUUUACUGUUCCUGCACUCCACGGGCCCAUAAACCUGUGUCUUCACUCUUCCUGCACCACUCGGGCCCAUAAAUCCUUGUCUUUACUUUUCCGACACUCCACAGGCCCUUAAACCCAUGUCUUCACUUUUCCCGCAACGCACGGGCCCAUAAACCCGUGUCUUGAGUCUUCCCGCACCGCACGGGCCCAUAAACCCGUGUCUUUACUCUUCCGGCACCCACGGGCCCGUAAACCCUUGCCUUUACGGUUCCUACACCCCACGGGCCCAUAAACCCGUGUCUUUACUUUUCCUGCACCCCACGGGCCCAUAAACCCGUGUCUUCACUCUUCCUGUACCACACGGGCCCAUAAACCCGUGUCUUCACUUUUUCUGCAAUGCACAGGCCCAUAAACCCUUGUAUUUACUGUUCCUGUACCCCACGGUCCCAUAAACCCGUCUCUUUACUUUUCCCGCACCGCAUGGGCCCAUAAACUCGUGUCCUCACUUUCCUUACACCAUACAGGCCCAUAAAUCCAUGCCUUUACUUUUCAUAAACUCGCGACUUAUUGCUUUGAGUCCGAUUUCCCUCCUCCUAUUCACUGAUUCCGACAUCUGUUCAAUAGAUUUAGGUACAUAUGCUUAAUUUCUUCCCACGCAUCCAAAGCUGAGGAACCAGCGGCCAUCGGGAAAGAGGUCGAAGCAGUCGCCGGAACCAAAAAGGGUUGCUUCUCAUAAUCUUUGGCUACAUCCUCUAAUCGAGCAUGCAACCAAAGAGGGGCAAGCUGUCAGUACCCCGUUUUGGUUCACCGGCUCAAGGAUAUGACAUCAACAAGGCUUCCGACUAGGGUUCCACAACUCUAACAAAAAAAUGGCGAUGGCAAGUUAUGGAAUUUUGCAGCACAAACAAUUGAUCCCGAAGAGUAAGGCACGAAUUAUCAAUAUUCGAAUCGAAUACAGUGGACAAAGGGGAAAUCACGUCUCUGUAUCAUUUUCUUAGGUGAGAACGACUAUCUUCGUGGAUCCUAGAACUAAGUUCGAUAUUUUUAGAUCAAGGUUUGGUGAGUUGGGGACAUUUCAAUGCAAAAAUCACAUCGAGAGCCCUUUCGAGCAAAAAGAUAAAAUUCGUGGGAGUUGGGGUGCCCAAGGAGUGAAUACAGCAGCUCAAGCAUGGGAUUCGACGCAUCAUAUCACGGUCAAUCCUGAACCUAAAAGGGUGAAUUCCAUAUCCCUGACCUAGGAAAUCGAGUUAGGUGCAAUUUAACGGGUCGUUCAUUCCAAUAUUCAAUACGGAGAGAGAGUUAUGAAUUUUUGAGCGCACCAUGCCCGAAACUGUUAAACCGGGACAGACUCUUCAAGUUGAGGGAGAAAAUCCAUAAAAAAAAAAUCAAUUCUUCGCGUUUUCGAGCAUGGAUAACGGCAUUGGAUUCCCAAUUCACUGGAGAUUCAGAAAAUCAAGAAAAACGAGAUGCAUUUUUGGCUAGAUUAGUACAAAAUUAAGGGUCUCCUCACAGAUCAGGACCAAAUUUACCGGUUCGGGCCAGCUAUCGAAGAAAAAUUGUUUUGGGAACUUCCCGAGGUCGAACGAUCUUCAAAUUUUACAAGGAUGUGCCCAGCUCAUGUAGGGAUCAAGAAAAACUAUCACAUAAACCGAAAGUGUCAUGAGCAAUUCAGGAAAAUUUCGGAUGUUCAGGUCAUCCCAUGGACCACUAGUCAUAGCUCUACCCCUCCUGCCCUUUUUCCCCACUACCCUCAUUUCUUUUUUUGGUUCUUCUUCUCUUUUCUUUUCUUUUCUUUUCUUUUUUUCGGUUGGUCCAAAAGAGGAAAACCUCCAGCUCACUCUCAGCUGCUCUCCCUUAGCUGGGAAC